Molecule: long non-coding RNA, 833 nt
Organism: Carassius gibelio (silver crucian carp)
Lineage: Eukaryota; Metazoa; Chordata; Actinopteri; Cypriniformes; Cyprinidae
Exons: 3
Source: RefSeq, a predicted model, not a curated record
CAUCCGAUCGAUCAGAGCGUUCACGAAAUCCUUCACCAGCUCAAAGUUCUCCGGACCUACACUCUCUGAGCCGUCGAUGAUAAAGACCAGCUCCAGAGGACCCGUCCUGCAUUUCAGACCACAUCCUGAGAGAAAACACACAACAAGAAUACCUCUCCCGGCUGAGCCCUCUGGACCUCGAGCACCAGGUACACCCACCUCACCCUAACAUAUGAACAGAAUAUAGAAACGCCAGAUCCGUCUUCACCUGGGAUACCAGGAAUACCAGGUGAUCCGUCUGGGCCUGGUUCUCCCUAAAGUCAUAAAACCAAUAUAUAUCGCCGGUGUUUACUCAAAUGAAAAUAUAGAAACAGAUCAUAUUUUAUUUAGAAUGUAAGGACAUUGAAAUUGUACAUACUUUUGGUCCUGGUUCUCCCAUUCCUCUCUCACCUUGUGGUCCAGGUUCUCCUGGAAAGCCCUGAUCACCCUGCAAUCAAAUGUGUAUAUAUUGUAUAUUUACAAAAUUAAAUUUUCAUAAUUAAAAAUUUCAAAAGUUUCCAUUUGAUUAAAAAUGUAGCACUUUUGUUACAUGCUUUUGUCAAUGUUGUUUGUUUAGCUUAAUUUUUUUUUUAAUUCAGCUUUAUUUUUAGUCAUUUUAGAACUUCAGCUCAUUCAUUUCUGUUAGGUGCCAAGGCAACAUUUCACAUUUUUGUAAAAAUACAAAAAAAUCACUUUAAUCACCAAAAUGUUUCUUUUUGAGUGAACAUCACUUAAAUGUGGUUUACUUAUGAUAAUAUGGAUUGAAAGUACUUCUUAAGAAUACUCUCUAAAGAUACAUCUUUGCACACACACAC